This 586-nucleotide ribosomal RNA is filed under the name Arthrobacter sp. CL11. Its description in RNAcentral is "bacterial SSU rRNA". It matches the Rfam family "Bacterial small subunit ribosomal RNA", at positions 45 to 641 of the family's 1533-position model. The record is from RNAcentral. Lineage: Bacteria; Bacillati; Actinomycetota; Actinomycetes; Micrococcales; Micrococcaceae.
UGCUUAACACAUGCAAGUCGAACGAUGAACUGGUGCUUGCACUGGGGAUUAGUGGCGAACGGGUGAGUAACACGUGAGUAACCUGCCCUUGACUCUGGGAUAAGCCUGGGAAACUGGGUCUAAUACCGGAUAUGACUCCUCAUCGCAUGGUGGGGGGUGGAAAGCUUUUGUGGUUUUGGAUGGACUCGCGGCCUAUCAGCUUGUUGGUGGGGUAAUGGCCUACCAAGGCGACGACGGGUAGCCGGCCUGAGAGGGUGACCGGCCACACUGGGACUGAGACACGGCCCAGACUCCUACGGGAGGCAGCAGUGGGGAAUAUUGCACAAUGGGCGGAAGCCUGAUGCAGCGACGCCGCGUGAGGGAUGACGGCCUUCGGGUUGUAAACCUCUUUCAGUAGGGAAGAAGCCGCGAGGUGACGGUACCUGCAGAAGAAGCGCCGGCUAACUACGUGCCAGCAGCCGCGGUAAUACGUAGGGCGCAAGCGUUAUCCGGAAUUAUUGGGGCGUAAAGAGCUCGUAGGCGGUUUGUCGCGUCUGCUGUGAAAGACCGGGGCUCAACUCCGGUUCUGCAGUGGGUACGGGCAGAC